Small nucleolar RNA from Ochotona princeps (American pika), 110 nucleotides. The record is from Ensembl. Lineage: Eukaryota; Metazoa; Chordata; Mammalia; Lagomorpha; Ochotonidae.
AUCUUUUCAUGGUUCACAAGUGUGAUGGUUUGGCUUGCAAACCUCUCUGUGUGAGAUGUACCUGCUUUGGAAACUUACAACUUCCGUCCUCAAUUUACACUUAUCUGAUG